This 1493-nucleotide ribosomal RNA is filed under the name uncultured bacterium. RNAcentral describes it as "partial 16S ribosomal RNA". It matches the Rfam family "Bacterial small subunit ribosomal RNA". The record is from RNAcentral.
AGAGUUUGAUCCUGGCUCAGGAUGAACGCUAGCGGCAGGCCUAACACAUGCAAGUCGAGGGGCAGCGGGAGUGCUUGCACUCGCCGGCGACCGGCGCACGGGUGCGGAACGCGUAUCGAAUCUGCCUCUAUCUGGGGGAUACCCCAUGGAAACGUGGAAUAAUACCCCAUAGUAUUACUUUAUCGCAUGAUUUAGUAAUUAAAGAAUUUCGGAUAGAGAUGACGAUGCGUAUCAUUAGCUAGUAGGUAAGGUAACGGCUUACCUAGGCAACGAUGAUUAGGGGUCCUGAGAGGGAGAUCCCCCACACUGGUACUGAGACACGGACCAGACUCCUACGGGAGGCAGCAGUGAGGAAUAUUGGACAAUGGUCGAAAGACUGAUCCAGCCAUGCCGCGUACAGGAUGACUGCCCUAUGGGUUGUAAACUGCUUUUAUACGGGAAGAAAAACACCUACGUGUAGGUGACUGACGGUACCGUAAGAAUAAGGACCGGCUAACUCCGUGCCAGCAGCCGCGGUAAUACGGAGGGUCCAAGCGUUAUCCGGAAUCAUUGGGUUUAAAGGGUCCGUAGGCGGGCUAUUAAGUCAGAGGUGAAAGUUUGCAGCUCAACUGUAAAAUUGCCUUUGAUACUGAUAGUCUUGAAUUGUAGUGAAGUGGUUAGAAUAUGUGGUGUAGCGGUGAAAUGCAUAGAUAUCACAUAGAAUACCGAUUGCGAAGGCAGAUCUCUCACUAGAUAUUGACGCUGAGGGACGAAAGCGUGGGGAGCAAACGGGAUUAGAUACCCCGGUAGUUCACACUGUAAACGAUGGAUAUUAGCUGUUGUAUUUCUUCAGUGGCUAAGCGAAAGUGAUAAGUAUCUCACCUGGGGAGUACGUUCGCAAGAAUGACACUCAAAGGAAUUGACGGGGGGCCGCUCAAGCGGUGGAGUAUGUGGUUUAAUUUGAUGCAACGCGAAGAACCUUUCCAGGGUUUUAAUCGGAAUUCCCUUGAACGAGGGACGUGCCUUUCGGCGGAGCGCAGUGACAGGUGGCGCAUGUCUGUUGUCAGCUCGUGUCGUGAGAUGUUGGGUCAAGUCCCCGAACGAGCGCAACUCCGUCCGUUAGUUGCCAGCGAUUCAUGUUGGGCACUCUACCGAGACCGCCGGUGAAAACCAUGAGGAAGGUGUGGAUGACGUCUAGUCAUCAUGCCCCUUACAUCCUGGGCUACACACGUACUUCAAUGCUACGGACAAAGGGCAGCAAACUCGCGAGAGCUAGCAAAUCCAUAAACCGUGGCUCAGUUCAGAUCGUAGGCUGCAACUCGCCUACGUGAAGGAGGAAUCGCUAGUAAUCGCAGGUCAGCCAUACUGCGGUGAAUACGUUCCCGGGCCUUGUACACACCGCCCGUCACACCAUGGAAGUUGGCCACGCCCGAAGCCGUUACUCCAACCCUUGUGGAGGAGGAUGUCGAAGGUGGGGCUGAUGACUGGGGUGAAGUCGUAACAAGGUAGCCGUA